Molecule: ribosomal RNA, 45 nt
Filed under: Trichoderma harzianum
Lineage: Eukaryota; Fungi; Ascomycota; Sordariomycetes; Hypocreales; Hypocreaceae
Description: partial 28S ribosomal RNA
Source: RNAcentral
UUGACCUCGGAUCAGGUAGGAAUACCCGCUGAACUUAAGCAUAUG